Molecule: long non-coding RNA, 221 nt
Organism: Nothoprocta perdicaria
Lineage: Eukaryota; Metazoa; Chordata; Aves; Tinamiformes; Tinamidae
Exons: 2
Source: RefSeq, a predicted model, not a curated record
AAUUUCUGUCUCACCAUUGCAACAAAAUUAUUACCGAAAGGAUUGUAGACAGUCCUUCCAGAAAUUUCCUAUCACAUUUUUUGACACAGGAUUUGAGGAGAUCUCAGAUGCAGGAACCAGGCACUGCUCAUAGCUCUUGGACUGGAGGGGUACAUCUGGGCACUGACUCACUGCUGUCUUACAAUAACCAGGCAAAAGCUGAAAAUUACAAAACCUCCAGA